AUUGAACGCUGGCGGCAGGCCUAACACAUGCAAGUCGAGCGGAUGAAGGGAGCUUGCUCCUGGAUUCAGCGGCGGACGGGUGAGUAAUGCCUAGGAAUCUGCCUGGUAGUGGGGGAUAACGUCCGGAAGCGGGCGCUAAUACCGCAUACGUCCUGAGGGAGAAAGUGGGGGAUCUUCGGACCUCACGCUAUCAGAUGAGCCUAGGUCGGAUUAGCUAGUUGGUGGGGUAAAGGCCUACCAAGGCGACGAUCCGUAACUGGUCUGAGAGGAUGAUCAGUCACACUGGAACUGAGACACGGUCCAGACUUCUACGGGAGGCAGCAGUGGUGAAUAUUGGACAAUGGGCGAAAGCCUGAUACAGCCAUGCCGCGUGUGUGAAGAAGGUCGUCGGAGUGUAGCACUUUAAGUUGGGAGGAAGGGCAGUAAGUUAAUACCUUGCUGUUUUGACGGUACCAACAGAAUAAGCACCGGCUAACUUCGUG
This 482-nucleotide ribosomal RNA is filed under the name uncultured bacterium. RNAcentral's name for it is "partial 16S ribosomal RNA". It matches the Rfam family "Bacterial small subunit ribosomal RNA", at positions 30 to 507 of the family's 1533-position model. The record is from RNAcentral.